This 321-nucleotide long non-coding RNA is filed under the name Trifolium pratense (red clover). Its description in RNAcentral is "long non-coding RNA (TPRA_LNC012114)". Lineage: Eukaryota; Viridiplantae; Streptophyta; Magnoliopsida; Fabales; Fabaceae. The record is from RNAcentral.
ACCAAUCACGCGCGGCGUGAUGAAAGGAAAGCUAACUACGUUGGGGGCGUGGAGCUAUCAUGCGAGGCGUAAAAGAUGCAGAGUUGCCAACCAGAGACCUCAGUUUCGAUCACGCGCCGCGUGAAACCAUUACACGCGCAGCGUAGUCAGGAGAUUUGCAACCACGCGCGGCGUGGUAGAUCUGGCGCGCGACGUGGUUGCGUUUAUUAUAUAUAGAAAUCUCAUUUUCUGCUGCAGGGGGUCGAAAAUUCUGCUACUGUUCAUCUACAUUCUGAUUUUUGGAGCAUUCAGCCAGUUGGAUCCGGAACUUCAUUGGAUAGC